RNA transcript from Homo sapiens (human), 652 nucleotides. It is a transcript of the gene named lymphocyte antigen 6 family member G6E (pseudogene), with no coding region annotated. The record is from RefSeq and is marked validated. Lineage: Eukaryota; Metazoa; Chordata; Mammalia; Primates; Hominidae. The transcript has 3 exons.
AGAGACAACAUGCUGAGAGAGCAGAGGAGACCCUCCAGGCAAGGGCAGACUCCUUGCAGGGGCAGGCUGGGGGCCCCCGCUGCCUGCUGGGUCAGGCUGGUGAAUCUGGUCAUGGUUCCGCCCCCCAGAUUCACUCCCUAGGUGUGUUUGUUUACUGGUUCCUCACUGUCUUGCUCAAAUGCUCCAACUCUACAAAUCCCGGGAUCUCGGGGUGCAGAUCACCUCUCCCAGAUUCCUGAGCCUGUGUCUGGCCAUGGGCACCUCCAGCAUCUUCCUCUGCGUGCUGUUCCUCUGUGGGGCACUGGGUCUCACCAUGUCCCCUGCCCGGGGAAGGCUCCGCUGCUACAUCUGUGGCUUCACCAAACCCUGCCACCCUGUUCCCACCGAGUGUCGGGACGAUGAAGCUUGUGGCAUCAGUAUUGGCACUUCAGACCAGAGUGAGAUCACUGAGUGAAAAAGCUGCCUCUCAAGGGCCCAGUGCCCUCUGCCAGGCUAUGCCACCUACUGGCUGCACUCCUACACUCUGUGGCACCACUGCUGCGAGCAGGACCUGUGCAACAUAGCCGCUUCCCCACAGCAGCUCACCAGCCUCCUCGCCUCCCUGCCCCUCUUUGUGGCCAGCUUCGCUGGGAGAGGACACCUCCUCCACUAG